GGUUACAACCCAGUAUCUCAAGGUACUAAGGGUGUCUGGCCAGCCAUUCGUGGUCGUGCCACAAACCUAAAUUUUUGGAAUGCCACUCCGGGGUAUCCGGUGGGGCGAC
Molecule: non-coding RNA, 109 nt
Organism: Angiostrongylus cantonensis (rat lungworm)
Lineage: Eukaryota; Metazoa; Nematoda; Chromadorea; Rhabditida; Metastrongylidae
Source: Rfam